UACAGAGGGGGCAAGCGUUGUUCGGAAUUACUGGGCGUAAAGGGCGCGUAGGCGCCUUCUAAGUCGAACGUGAAAUCCCCGGGCUCAACCCGGGAACUGCGUCCGAUACUGGAAGGCUUGAAUCCGGGAGAGGGAUGCGGAAUUCCAGGUGUAGCGGUGAAAUGCGUAGAUAUCUGGAGGAACACCGGUGGCGAAGGCGGCAUCCUGGACCGGUAUUGACGCUGAGGCGCGAAAGCCAGGGGAGCAAACGGG
RNAcentral lists this ribosomal RNA (252 nucleotides) under uncultured bacterium. RNAcentral describes it as "partial 16S ribosomal RNA". It matches the Rfam family "Bacterial small subunit ribosomal RNA", at positions 524 to 776 of the family's 1533-position model. The record is from RNAcentral.